CAGAGCGACUGGCCAUUUUGAAUGUAUCUUUUUAUCCCCUGAUUAUACAUUAUAUAAAAACAUAUAUAUACUCAGUUAUUUUACUCCUUUGCUAAUGUGGUGAAAAAUCUAAUUAACUGACUCAAGUUUCUAGAGGUGAAAGUCUGAAAGAUAAGCAAAAAUGAUAUGUUUAGAAAUAGUGAAUAGGCUUUUUUAUAUUGGCUAUGUCUUCCUCGAAAAGCAGUUUCCAUUAGUUUGUUGUGCCUUUUUUUUUUUCUUUGCAUUGAUAUUAAUGGAAGAUGGUUGAUGAACGUCAUAUUACUUUGAUGAUGACAAGACCUUUGAUGUAAAUAUUACUUGCUUUGUUUCUUGUAGAUUUUUAAAAAAUACAUAUAUUUAGACUGUGAGCUGGCAUUGUGUAAUCAGUAUAAAAUUAAGAGGGAUGCUAUUUCUGCUAUCAGCUCAGUGUGUAUUUGUUCAUGUGUUGCUUUCUUGUUCCUUACUAAACCAUAUCACUAAAUCCCUACUGAACAUAGCCAUAACCGUAGGAGGAUCAAGAUGUCUCUUGUAACUCUUGUCAUUAGUCUUCGAGGUUUUGUGCUGUUUUCUUCUCAUUUUCAGUCCACCCUAACAGUAUUUUGUCUGUUCUCUAGCACACUAGAAAGUAAGGAAGAUUGGAACUGUAUCAGAAAGUAAGUUUUUCAUGUUUCUUAGUUUCAUUUUGACUUAACUUUCAUCCUCUAGGAUAGCUGGAAGAUGUCCUCCAUUUCGUUGUCUUUGACAAGACAUACGUAUGGAACAGUUUUAGUCACUUUUGUGAUAGCUGUUACCUCUUCAUUCAUUACGGAAGUGUCGUUAGUGCCCCACUGCUGUUUUUUUGCAGUUUCACUUUUGAUUUAGCACUGAUGUUAAGCAUGUGCUGCAGAAGAAAUGCAUGUCUCCCUGGCAAUAACUUCAGUAAAUGGCAUACCUUUAGUUAAGGUUUCCAUUCAAAUGUUUGAAGCAAACCAGAACAAAAACACAUACUCACAGAGGGAACAGAUGCAGGGAUUGCAGCACAUUUUAAACAGGUUUGUUUAUCAGUUUUUCUAUAGGGCCUCCCAUGUGGUCAGAGAUGACAUAAUU
RNAcentral lists this long non-coding RNA (1104 nucleotides) under Anser brachyrhynchus (Pink-footed goose). RNAcentral describes it as "lncRNA (ENSABRG00000002090.1)". Lineage: Eukaryota; Metazoa; Chordata; Aves; Anseriformes; Anatidae. The record is from RNAcentral.